RNA transcript from Glycine soja, 1004 nucleotides. It is a transcript of the gene named uclacyanin 1-like, with no coding region annotated. Lineage: Eukaryota; Viridiplantae; Streptophyta; Magnoliopsida; Fabales; Fabaceae. The transcript is spliced from 2 exons. The record is from RefSeq and is a predicted model, not a curated record.
AGAGUAAGAGUACCUUCCAUUUCCAUAUACAAUUGACAAUUGGUUGUAGUGAGUGUGGGAGGAGAGUCACAACUACCAGUCCUUGCUUUGCAUCGUGUGAGUUUGGGAGAGGAAGGAAGCUACUCGGAAAGUUAUUCCUUCCUCAGCAAAAAAAAAACCAUUCCUUUAUAACCAUAAAGCGCCUUCUUUAAUUUUCUUCACCACCACUCCAUUACUCUCUCCACGCACCCCCUACUACCUUUGUUUUGAGUUUGAGGAAUAUAAGAAAAAUGAAAAUGGGUAAAGGAAUUGUUUUUAUUGUUGCUCUGGUGGCCAUUUGCCUUGGUGGGAAAUGGGUGGAAGCGCAGGUGCAUCAUGUUGUCGGAGCAGACCGUGGUUGGGAUCAAACCUCCGACCUCGUUUCUUGGUCUGCAAGCAGAGUCUUCAGGGUUGGAGACCAAAUUUGGCUCACUUACUCUGUGGCUCAGGGAUUAGUCGCUGAGCUGAAAAGCAGAGAGGAAUAUGAGGCAUGUAAUGUGAGCAACCCCAUCAACGUGUACACAGAGGGUUUGCAUACUAUCCCUCUUGAGAGUGAAGGAAUGAGGUAUUUUGUGAGCAGCGAGCCAGAGAAUUGCAAAAAUGGUCUCAAGCUACACGUUGAGGUUCUGCCCAAGGCUGAUGAACGUAUCACAGAGCCUUCCACUUCUACCCUAACAGAUGAGGCUGUGGCGCCCACUACUCCUUCUGGUUCACCACGUUAUGCUCACAACACUAUGUUAAAGCUCACGGUUAUAUUGUUUCUCAUCAUAGGUCUUGCUUACUGACACCUGUCCCAACCCUAUAUAUGUAUUUAAGACACUAUUUUGGGAUUUGGGACCCUGCUAUGUGCCAUUUUUUUUAAUGUGGGUAUAUGUCUAGUUUAAGAAGGAUUUUUUUUUUGUCUUGUUUUAUGAAUUUAACUGUUAUGUUUUUAAGAGUAAGAAUUUUAAUUCCUGAAAUUACAGUGACUACCUAUUGCGCUAUCA